Scophthalmus maximus (turbot) is the source of this 2107-nucleotide long non-coding RNA. RefSeq lists it as uncharacterized. The record is from RefSeq and is a predicted model, not a curated record. The transcript has 3 exons. Lineage: Eukaryota; Metazoa; Chordata; Actinopteri; Pleuronectiformes; Scophthalmidae.
AGCAACUCGUGGCUUUGGUGAUGUUGUAGCCCGGAAUACCGACCAAUCCGCAAGCUCCUGUUUAUUCAGUCUCGCACGAUGGGGUCUGGCCGUCGCCCCAUUCAGACUGAUUUACCAUCCAGCUUUUUAUUGAAAAGCGUUUGAUAUGAGAUAUGAUAUUGCUGACACUGACGUGGACAUCAGGUGUGUCGAAUCUGCUGUCGAGACCAAAGAUAUGUACUUUACUCUCAUAGAGGAGCAAAAGAAACCAGAAAAUAUUCACAUUUAAGAAGCUAAAAUCAGAGAAUUUGGAUUUUCCCCCAAUCAAAACCAAUUCAUUAAAUAUAGUUGGCGAUUAAUUUAGUCGUUGAUGGUUUAUUGAUUAAUCGAUUAACUGUAGCAGCUCUAAUUCCAGACCUUGAGCACCUCAGCUGAGAAACUCCGUCGAGCGGGUUUUUUUCUCCUGGAUAUUGCGGAUAAUCCUGUCGUGCUGCGGGUGGUGGAUGGUGAUGUCAACUCACCUGGAUACUGAUCCCGUGGACCAGAGGAGUGGUGGGAGAGGAACCACGUGGGAUUGAGCUAAGGAUAAUCCAUUUUAUUUUAUUUUGUUUUAUUUUAUUUUAUUUGCACCCCCCCCCCCCCCCCCCAGAUCCUGAGAUCUCAGGUUGUAGAAACUUUGGCAGAAACUGAAUCUGUGGAAAGAAAACACUGUUCAUUUCAUUUCAAUGUAUUUUUUUGGAGUUGUAAAUCUGUCAAGUUAUUUUGUUACCAGAAUUUGCAUUAAGAGAAAAGCAGAUAUCUUUUAUACGUAUACAUUUCCUUCUUUUUCAUAAGUCGGUGGUCGUGUGUGGGCUGGGGGUCUUACUGCACUUCGCAGAGCCAGCUUUGCCCGGGGCCGCAAGCGUUGCUGCUGUAAAAAUACUGACAGGCACGCCAAAUGUUUAUUAAUUUACAAGUCAAAAAAUUUGUUCCCAACUAAUACAAUAAACACUCCUGUUUGAGUAACACAUGCUAAAAUCUCCAGCGGCCCCGUGGUUGUAAUUUAAAACCCAUUUGACCCAUUUCAAUGUCCAUCUAAGGAUCUAACAGAGGGACUCGGGGAGGGUCAUGGGCAGGUUAGGGGAGUCGGAAAAAAGUGUUGAGAGAUGGACACAGAGAAAAAAUAAAGAGCACCAAAUCAGUCCUUUUAAUCUCCAGUUCUGCCACGAUGAACUAACAUGAGAAUAUGUGUGUCUCCUGCUUAGUUUUCACGACAUAAGCAGCUGUGGGGCUUUUAUGGAAAAAUGUCCCCACUUUUCCGACCUUCCCCCAGGAGGCAGGAUACCUGGUUGAGUGAGACUGCCUUCCUGACUGAGAGCACCACUCAAAGAAUCCAGACUGUGGCUCCAAUCCAGUUGCCCUCUUUAAUAGAUUCACAGUGUUAUGUACGUACGUUGUCUGGUAUUAUGGCGUUGGGCCGUCAUCUCAUCACUGCACUGGCACUCGUGUGUGUCUCAAAGAGAAGGAGUUGUAAUUUGUGUGUUUGUCUGGGCUCAAUCGUGGCAAUCGAGGGACUCAUUUCACCGUGUUUUCAGUGUGUUCAUUCUGUCAUAUGUCACAGUAAUAUUAAAUUGUUUGUUACUUUCUUCUGUUCACACUGUAGAUUAGAAGUAAGAAGAUUGAGGCUGCGGUCACAGCGGUAUUUCAACUUGAAUGGCACUCAGUAAAGCACAUAUGCCUCUGCCAAGGCCCAACAGUCCCUCAAUCAAGUCGCACCAAAUUGCACACACUCAUAAAAAUCAGUCUCUUGAAUAUUGCCAGAUUUUGUUUCCCCCAUCAAGAUCCCUGGGAAAUUGGUGAAAAUGUACAAUAAAAAUCAGCACAAAAAUGUAAUGUUUUUAUUUCUUGGCCCAUGUCCCAUCAAGUUUCGUGGAAAUCUUUUCAGUUGUUUUUGCAUCGAACAAACGGGAAAACAAGGGCGGCAACCUCCUCAGUUGACGUGAUAACAAGAAAUUUCUGCCUGACAUAAUCACUUAAUUUGGACGGAAUAGUGGCAAUCGGUUGAUUUGUUCCAUCGGUCAUUACAAUCCUUCUUGAAAGUGCUGAAAAAGAAGAAAGAAAAAAAUAAAUAAAGGAAGGAAGGAAGCCA